This 485-nucleotide ribosomal RNA is filed under the name uncultured bacterium. RNAcentral describes it as "partial 16S ribosomal RNA". It matches the Rfam family "Bacterial small subunit ribosomal RNA", at positions 30 to 506 of the family's 1533-position model. The record is from RNAcentral.
AUUGAACGCUGGCGGCAUGCCUUACACAUGCAAGUCGAACGGCAGCACGGGUGCUUGCACCUGGUGGCGAGUGGCGAACGGGUGAGUAAUACAUCGGAACAUGUCCUGUAGUGGGGGAUAGCCCGGCGAAAGCCGGAUUAAUACCGCAUACGAUCUACGGAUGAAAGCGGGGGACCUUCGGGCCUCGCGCUAUAGGGUUGGCCGAUGGCUGAUUAGCUAGUUGGUGGGGUAAAGGCCUACCAAGGCGACGAUCAGUAGCUGGUCUGAGAGGACGACCAGCCACACUGGGACUGAGACACGGCCCAGACUCCUACGGGAGGCAGCAGUGGGGAAUUUUGGACAAUGGGCGAAAGCCUGAUCCAGCAAUGCCGCGUGGGUGAAGAAGGCCUUCGGGUUGUAAAGCACUUUUGUCCGGAAAGAAAUCCUUGGCCCUAAUACGGUCGGGGGAUGACGGUACCGGAAGAAUAAGCACCGGCUAACUACGU